UAAGGAAUAUUGGACAAUGGCGGAGACGCUGAUCCAGCUAUCCCGCGUGCAGGAUGACGGCCCUACGGGUUGUAAACUGCUUUAGACUGGGGCGAAAAAGUGGGAUUUAUCCUACAUUGACGGUACCAGUAAAAUAAGCACCGGCUAACUCCGUGCCAGCAGCCGCGGUAAUACGGAGGGUGCAGGCGUUAUCCGGAAUCACUGGGUAUAAAGGGUGCGUAGGCGGCUUGUUAAGUCAGGAGUGAAAGGCCAUGGCUCAACUAUGGGAUUGCUUUUGAUACUGACGAGCUUGGAUUAGGACGAGGUUGGCGGAAUGUGGCAAGUAGCGGUGAAAUGCAUAGAUAUGCCAUAGAAUACCGAUUGCGAAGGCAGCUGACUAGACCUAUAUUGACGCUGAGGCACGAAAGCGUGGGGAGCGAACAGGAUUAGAUACCCUGGUAGUCCACGCCCUAAACGAUGCUAACUCGAUGUUCGGCCGCAA
RNAcentral lists this ribosomal RNA (481 nucleotides) under uncultured Bacteroidota bacterium. RNAcentral describes it as "bacterial SSU rRNA". It matches the Rfam family "Bacterial small subunit ribosomal RNA", at positions 355 to 833 of the family's 1533-position model. The record is from RNAcentral. Lineage: Bacteria; Pseudomonadati; Bacteroidota.